GAUGAACGCUGGCGGCGUGCCUAAUACAUGCAAGUCGAGCGAACGGACGAGAAGCUUGCUUCUCUGAUGUUAGCGGCGGACGGGUGAGUAACACGUGGAUAACCUACCUAUAAGACUGGGAUAACUUCGGGAAACCGGAGCUAAUACCGGAUGAUAUUUUGAACCGCAUGGUUCAAAAGUGAAAGACGGUCUUGCUGUCACUUAUAAAUGGAUCCGCGCUGCAUUAGCUAGUUGGUAAGGUAACGGCUUACCAAGGCAACGAUGCAUAGCCGACCUGAGAGGGUGACCGGCCACACUGAAACUGAGACACGGUCCAGACUCCUACGGGAGGCAGCAGUAGGGAAUCUUCCGCAAUGGGCGAAAGCCUGACGGAGCAACGCCGCGUGAGUGAUGAAGGUCUUCGGAUCGUAAAACUCUGUUAUUAGGGAAGAACAUAUGUGUAAGUAACUGUGCACAUCUUGACGGUACCUAAUCAGAAAGCCACGGCUAACUACGU
This 496-nucleotide ribosomal RNA is filed under the name uncultured bacterium. RNAcentral's name for it is "partial 16S ribosomal RNA". It matches the Rfam family "Bacterial small subunit ribosomal RNA", at positions 28 to 506 of the family's 1533-position model. The record is from RNAcentral.